This 403-nucleotide ribosomal RNA is filed under the name uncultured prokaryote. RNAcentral's name for it is "bacterial SSU rRNA". It matches the Rfam family "Bacterial small subunit ribosomal RNA", at positions 355 to 774 of the family's 1533-position model. The record is from RNAcentral.
UCGAGAAUCUUCCGCAAUGGGCGAAAGCCUGACGGAGCGAUGCCGCGUGAGGGAUGAAGGCCUUCGGGUUGUAAACCUCUGUCGCCCGGGACGAAAUUUGACGGUACCGGGAGAGGAAGCUACGGCUAACUACGUGCCAGCAGCCGCGGUAAUACGUAGGUAGCGAGCGUUAUUCGGAUUUACUGGGCGUAAAGGGUCUGCAGGGGGCCUGCCAAGUCUGGCGUGAAAUUCCAAGGCUCAACCUUGGAACUGCGUUGGAUACUGGCGGGCUAGAGUGCAUGAGGGGAGAACAGAAUACCUGGUGUAGCGGUGGAAUGCGCAGAUAUCAGGUGGAACACCGACGGCGAAGGCGGUUCUCUGGCAUGCAACUGACCCUGAGGGACGAAAGCGUGGGGAGCAAACA